UACAGGGGGUGCAAGCGUUAUUCGGAAUUAUUGGGCGUAAAGAGCGUGUAGGUGGUUUGUCGCGUCUGCUGUGAAAAUCCGGGGCUCAACCCCGGACUUGCAGUGGGUACGGGCAGACUAGAGUGUGGUAGGGGAGACUGGAAUUCCUGGUGUAGCGGUGAAAUGCGCAGAUAUCAGGAGGAACACCGAUGGCGAAGGCAGGUCUCUGGGCCACUACUGACGCUGAGAAGCGAAAGCAUGGGGAGCGAACAGG
RNAcentral lists this ribosomal RNA (253 nucleotides) under uncultured bacterium. Its description in RNAcentral is "partial 16S ribosomal RNA". It matches the Rfam family "Bacterial small subunit ribosomal RNA", at positions 524 to 776 of the family's 1533-position model. The record is from RNAcentral.